This is a long non-coding RNA of Sinocyclocheilus anshuiensis, 735 nucleotides long. RefSeq lists it as uncharacterized. The transcript has 4 exons. NCBI's taxonomy places the organism in Eukaryota, Metazoa, Chordata, Actinopteri, Cypriniformes, Cyprinidae. The record is from RefSeq and is a predicted model, not a curated record.
GAAAUUAUUCAUUUAAAAGAUUCAAACAGAUCCGGGCAACAGGUGUGUUUCCCAUUUCCCAACAGUUUGGUCGUCAUCAGAGUCAACAUAAAUGUGAGGAAUAUGCUUUGUCUGCGGUUCUUGCCUCGACCUGGAUUUGGAGAAAAUGAUCCACUGUUAGACGGAGUAUGCAGUGCAGACUCAACGCUCAUGCGGGUUGCCAGAUUGAGGACAUGCAACAGGAACGAGCACAAUUCAAAAUGGAAGGGGACGAGCCUUACACUUUUGUGCAGGGAUCAGAAUCCCUCCCUGUCGACAGGCCAGAGGGGUAUUAGAGUCCUGACCCCAGAGUCGACGACAGGGUCAGAAAUUGGAUCUGAACUGCUUGAGCGACUCGGGCCCCCACCAAACAUCAAAGCCCAUCUCAUCUGAUCCGGGCAGGCACACAAACUGACCUCCAACAACACGCUCUCACUGUACCUCUCCGCUCGGGCUAACAGCGACGUGAUGAAAGGUAAGGAUGACCGCCUGCAUCGACUCGCUUGCCCAGACUGUCAACGCACAGUCACUGGUUUCUGUACUGUCGAACAAGGAGGAGAGAUGUGAAGCUUUGAAAAUCAUCAAAGCUGCAUGAGGGUGUGAAAGAUCCAAUUGAGCAGACGGAGGGAGAGACAUGACUUUCAGGUCAUAGAUGGGAAAUGACAAAGGCUGGGACAGAUACUCACGUUUUGUUAUUAAUAAAGGCACCUUGUGAGA